ACACAUGCAAGUCGAGGGGCAGCAUGAUUGAAGCUUGCUUCAAUUGAUGGCGACCGGCGCACGGGUGAGUAACGCGUAUCCAACCUUCCGUACACUCAGGGAUAGCCUUUCGAAAGAAAGAUUAAUACCCGAUGGUAUGAUGAGAUUGCAUGAUAGCAUCAUUAAAGAUUUAUCGGUGUACGAUGGGGAUGCGUUCCAUUAGGUAGUAGGCGGGGUAACGGCCCACCUAGCCGACGAUGGAUAGGGGUUCUGAGAGGAAGGUCCCCCACAUUGGAACUGAGACACGGUCCAAACUCCUACGGGAGGCAGCAGUGAGGAAUAUUGGUCAAUGGACGAGAGUCUGAACCAGCCAAGUAGCGUGAAGGAUGAAGGUCCUACGGAUUGUAAACUUCUUUUAUAAGGGAAUAAAACCUCCCACGUGUGGGAGCUUGUAUGUACCUUAUGAAUAAGCAUCGGCUAACUCCGUGCCAGCAGCCGCGGUAAUACGGAGGAUGCGAGCGUUAUCCGGAUUUAUUGGGUUUAAAGGGAGCGCAGACGGGUCGUUAAGUCAGCUGUGAAAGUUUGGGGCUCAACCUUAAAAUUGCAGUUGAUACUGGCGUCCUUGAGUGCGGUUGAGGUGUGCGGAAUUCGUGGUGUAGCGGUGAAAUGCUUAGAUAUCACGAAGAACUCCGAUUGCGAAGGCAGCACACUAAGCCGUAACUGACGUUCAUGCUCGAAAGUGUGGGUAUCAAACAGGAUUAGAUACCCUGGUAGUCCACACGGUAAACGAUGGAUACUCGCUGUUGGCGAUAUACGGUCAGCGGCUUA
This 807-nucleotide ribosomal RNA is filed under the name uncultured bacterium. RNAcentral's name for it is "bacterial SSU rRNA". It matches the Rfam family "Bacterial small subunit ribosomal RNA", at positions 51 to 850 of the family's 1533-position model. The record is from RNAcentral.